RNAcentral lists this ribosomal RNA (493 nucleotides) under uncultured bacterium. RNAcentral describes it as "partial 16S ribosomal RNA". It matches the Rfam family "Bacterial small subunit ribosomal RNA", at positions 28 to 507 of the family's 1533-position model. The record is from RNAcentral.
GACGAACGCUGGCGGCGUGCUUAACACAUGCAAGUCGAACGGUGAAGGGACCGGUUUUUGCUGGUUCUGGAUGAGUGGCGAACGGGUGAGUAACACGUGAGUAACCUGCCCCCUUCUUCUGGAUAACCGCAUGAAAGUGUGGCUAAUACGGGAUAUUCUGCGCCUGCUGCAUGGUGGGUGUGGGAAAGAUAUUGUUUCGGUGGGGGGUGGGCUCGCGGCCUAUCAGCUUGUUGGUGGGGUGAUGGCCUACCAAGGCGGUGACGGGUAGCCGGCCUGAGAGGGUGGACGGUCACACUGGGACGGCGACACGGCCCAGACUCCUACGGGAGGCAGCAGUGGGGAAUAUUGCACAAUGGGCGCAAGCCUGAUGCAGCGACGCCGCGGGAGGGAUGGAGGCCUUCGGGUUGUAAACCUCUUUCGCCAGUGAAGCAGGCCUGUCCCUUUUGUGGGUGGGUUGACGGUAGCUGGAUAAGAAGCGCCGGCUAACUACGUG